This 392-nucleotide ribosomal RNA is filed under the name uncultured bacterium. Its description in RNAcentral is "partial 16S ribosomal RNA". It matches the Rfam family "Bacterial small subunit ribosomal RNA", at positions 523 to 918 of the family's 1533-position model. The record is from RNAcentral.
AUACGGAGGAUCCGAGCGUUAUCCGGAUUUAUUGGGUUUAAAGGGUGCGCAGGCGGCCAUUUAAGUCAGCGGUUAAAUCGUGGGGCUCAACCCCAUUCUGCCGUUGAUACUGGGUGGCUUGAUUGCGGUCGAGGUUGGCGGAAUUCGUUGUGUAGCGGUGAAAUGCAUAGAUAUGACGAAGAACACCGAUUGCGUAGGCAGCUGACCAGAUCGCAAAUGACGCUCGUGCACGAAAGUGCGGGGAUCGAACAGGAUUAGAUACCCUGGUAGUCCGCACAGUAAACGAUGAAUACUUGUUUUCGGCGAUAUAAUGUCGGAGGCAAAGCGAAAGCGAUAAGUAUUCCACCUGGGGAGUACGCCGGCAACGGUGAAACUCAAAUGAAUUGACGGGG